AGGGGUGUCGUCAAGCGGCAAGACACAGGCUUUUGAUGCCUGCAUUCGUAGGUUCGAAUCCUACCGCCCCUGCCA
This 75-nucleotide transfer RNA is filed under the name Deltaproteobacteria bacterium. RNAcentral's name for it is "tRNA-Gln". It matches the Rfam family "tRNA". From Rfam's summary of the family: Transfer RNA (tRNA) molecules are approximately 80 nucleotides in length. Their secondary structure includes four short double-helical elements and three loops (D, anti-codon, and T loops). The record is from RNAcentral. Lineage: Bacteria; Pseudomonadati; Myxococcota; Myxococcia.